This 4426-nucleotide long non-coding RNA is filed under the name Mustela putorius furo (domestic ferret). RNAcentral describes it as "lncRNA (ENSMPUG00000030498.1)". The record is from RNAcentral. Lineage: Eukaryota; Metazoa; Chordata; Mammalia; Carnivora; Mustelidae.
GAGAAAUCAUUUUUGAUGAUUCUGAGAUAUUAGUGAGAGAAAUACAUAGGAUCGAUAUUAUCACCUUGUAUUUAGUGUAACUUUACAUAAGGAUUUGGUUAAAGGAAAGAAGAAUGGCUGGAGUCAAAGGAGAAAAUUUGAGAGGGUUAAUGCACAAUUUAAUAAUUUCUUCAAAACAAAGGGUUGCCUGGAAGAGAGGACAAUUUCUCUGUUCCUUCAGAAAGCAGAACUGUAGGAAAAGGGUUGGAGUGACUAAGUUAGUCAAAGAAAGACUGUUGAUUCUCAAAAGUUGUCAGCCCCUGGAAUGAGAUCUAACAAGGCAGGUUUGGGACUUUCUUGAUUCAGAGAUCUUUAGAAACAAGUUGGGAUUUUACCCGUCUGGAAAUGUUUUAGAUACGGGUCUGGAAGGUCCAACCUGGGAUUUGGUCAAUCUCAACUCUUUGCUGCUUCAGGUUAUUCUGCAAGGGAAUAACAAUGCUUAGCCAGCCCAGAAAGAAAACAUGAUAUAUUACCAGCUGUGAUUAGGGCUUAAUAACGCCUUGCUACUCUGGAGUCCAUGGAAAACUUUGGUAGGAACGGGAGUUUAAGGGGCAUGGAAUCCUUUGGCAGAUAGGAAGGACCUUUGUUGGUGGACUUUGGAGCAACGGUAAUCCUAAAGCAGAUUCUCGUUUCCCUCCACGGCCUCGCUCUGCCCCCUGUUGGCUGCAUCGCUCAUUGUACUCCCGUGUUCAAAAUUAUUUCCAGUGAGAACAGGAGUAGGUAGAAAGGGGAUAUCAGGAUUUCAUUCCCAGAACUACUUUUUCCAUGGAAAAUGAACCCGUUUCGGUAAAUCUUGGGCCCAUCCUCCCGCAAAGAGCAAGUGUCACACAUAUUCUGAUGUCAAAGGCUACGCCAGUCUGGGCGUUGGGCGGCAGACCAAAAUAUCAGAUGAGAGGUGUGGAAGUUAUCGGCAACUUAGGUGACAGGAGCCAAGGAGGGUCUACCCGCCAUGCGCACCCCAUUGUGGUUGCCCAGCGACUGCGGGGCGCUCAGAACGGGGGCGUUGCUCAGAAUGGUUCCAGGGACCCGGUUGGGCAGGUCAGUUUCUCUGCAGGAGGCUGCAGACGCCCGUCCUGGGACAUGGCCCCAGAAGCUCCAGGUAGACGCGAGGGUCACAGUUCGCGCCCUCUGGGUGGGUUCAAAGGGCGGGAUCUUUUGCUGUUUGCUCCUCCUCGGGACACCAGCCACCUCUGCCAGUGAAGGCGGCUCGGCUGUCUUUGCCAAGCCGGAGGGGCAGCGGCGAACUGCUGAGCCAGCCACUGUGGUCACGGGCCCCCUCCGCCAGGCCGACAGUCCCAGGCCGGGGGCGGCCGAGGAGCGCCCCGCCCCCGCCGCCGCGGCCCGGACCGAGACGCACACGCUCCUUAAUCCCCCGCCCCACGUUGCCCCGGCGACGGCCCAGACGAGCAGGGAGUUGAACUCACCAGAUGGAUUUCUAAGUGACAUACUAUGGAGCAAUGGGAGAAGAUGCACUCCUGCUGACUAUGUAUCAGAGGACCCUUAACAACAAGGAUGCAGUCUAAGGCCCUGAAGAAAAUAAACUGAAGACUGAUGCCAACUCAACAUGACUUCAUAUGCCACCUCUGGUAGUGUUUAUGGUCCGUGUCUCCCCAGUGUAUUUGGGUAAGUUCUGCUGAGCAAGAUGUUGGCAAUGUUUCUAAUGGACUGUCAGCAUUUGAUUACAGAUGCGCUUUGUUUGGCCUGCAUAGCAUUUACAAAUUAUUUCUGAAUUAUUACCAGUUUUUUAAAAAAAGAAAUCCAGAGAUCUUACUUAAAAAUCUAGGUUUCUGGGGCACUUGGUUGGCUCAAUCAGUUAAUGGUCUGACUCUUGAUUUUGGCUCUGAUCAUAAUCUCAGGUUCCUGGGAUUAAGCCCGGCAUCAGGCUCCGUGUUCAGUGGGGAGUCUGCUUGAGAUUCUCCCUCUGGCUAUCCCCCCACCCCCUUAAAAAAAUCUAGAUUUCCAUCAUAGUAAAACUGGAGUUAGUGAGGGUUGGGUGGGGCCUGUGUUUUUCUACCUCCUGCAUCUCCUGUGGAGUGAGGGGGCCUCAAUUUUAAUCCCACUUCUGCCACACACCAGCAGGAUUGUUUUGAGAAAGUUACCCUACUCUGAGUGUGUCAGUUUUCCAUAUUUGCAGGGUGGAGGAAAUAUUUGGCUUACAAAGUGAUGGUUCAGGUUCAUGGGUGUUAACUAAGGUAGAGAACAUGGACACAUCAACUAGUAGUUUCCUCUCUACCCUUUGUUAUUGUUCUUAUAUAAAAUCACUGCCAGCUGUUAUUUAGUCGUAGAAACAAGAUGUGCAGCACAAUUAUUUGACAGAACAUUCUGUAGUAAGUCAUAUCCUCUGCUUGGUUAUUUGCACAAUGAUCUGCAUGCUGUUUGAUUUGGGUUUAAUCUCAUGAUUAAAGCCUCUGCUGGUUGCUAGCCAUGCACCUUCUCACUAGCUUGUGAACUCAAGACCUGUUUCUUUUCAUGACCUCCCCUAGCCUAUCUUCAUCUGUCAUCUCUCUUCAUUAGACUGUAAGCUUACCUAGGCCCCCCUUAAUCCUCCAUUUUCAGAAUGUUGGGCAAAUCUUGGCAUCUAAUAGACAACUCAUUCAUAUUUGCUAAGUGACUGAUUUUAAGAGAUUGUUAUAUACAGAAUUAUAUAUUACCUAUAAUUAUCUAUAGUUAAAUAUAAAAUAUAUAAUUAAUAUAUUUAUAUUAUGUUCCAUAAUAUGAAUAUAAAACUAAACAUAUAAUUAUAAAAUUAAAAAUAUAUUAUGAGACAGAAACAGUGUAUGUAUAAUUUCCAAGGCAAUUUUCCUUUCAAAUAAUAUGAAAAAUUGUUUCUUUACUCCUUAAAGGAUCUGUUAUUUCUUAGUUCAUUUGUUCUUUCAUUUUCUUUUAAAACAUCAUUUGCAACAGAAGGAAAGCAUAUAGGACAGUGUCUGGCACAUAGAAGGAAUUUAUUUGCUCAUUCAACAAAUUGAUCUCCACUAUUGUAAUCACAAAGCAGUGUGAUUUGUUGAUUUGUUAAAAUAUAAAAAAUAAGAGGCACCUGGGUGGCCCAGUUGGUUAAGCGUCUGCCUUCAGCUCAGGUCAUGAUCCAGGAGUCCCAGGAAGGAGCCCGGCAUUGGGCUUCCUGCUCAGCAGGGAGUUUGCUCCCUCUGCCCUCAUCCUAUGAGUGCUCUCUCUCUCUCUCUCUCUCCCUCUUUCUCAAAUAAAUAAACAAAAUCUUUAAAAAAAAAAAGUAAGCAUAAAAAAUAAAAAUUCAGUGAUUAUCAAGACAUGCAUAGAAAGGUUGCACCAGGACCUACAAGGAACUGGCUGAAUGGAGGGCUGAUUUGAUUUCAGCAGGAAGAAGCCAUGAUGAAAUAAUCUAGCACACCAUUUACCAGACUGGAACACCCACCACAGGGUUUUCCAGGGAGAACUACCUUGUUUUCAGCCUGCUGAAGAUCUUGGGAGAUCUGCUGGCUUGCACAUCAGUAAGGUUCAGUGCUUGCAGAUGUCGUUGGUCCCAGAGCUGUCAUACCCGUGUGAUUGUGGCCCGGAAAGCAGAUAGGAGAUCAUCAGUUACUUCUCUCCUUACUUUUGCGAAGAAAUGGCAGUGAGUGUGCACAUGUGUUAUGGUUACUGGCUGGUGUGAUCUUGUAAGAAUCAGAUUUCACAAGAUGGAAUAGGGAGUAGGGUAAAGGUGUGAAUGCGGAGGAAAACGAGCGUGUUGUGAAAAUUUUAGCAGAAGUUGUAAAGGUUAUGAUACAGGUUCUUGAUUUUUAAGAGAGAAGAUUGUUUUGAACAAUUGCAUUUCCUUUCUAGUGGAAUGACAUUUCUCCCUUUCUCAACAGAAGGUUCUGUUUUUCUUUUUGUCAUUUGAGAACACAUUCCCUGAUUUCACAAUUACCCAUCUGAAAAUUGCAUGGGACCUGACACAUGAAAGACACUGUGGAGAACAUCCUGAAGGUGGGGUCUUCUUUGCACAGCCCCUACUUAGUACAGUUCAUUGUCGUGGCAGCUGAGGACUCUUCUGUGCUGAACUGUAAGGGUUCUUGUCUGAUCAGAGCUGUGCUGGGUGCUGCUCUAGACCUCAGAGGCUGUUGCUCUUGGGUGGCAGAUCCACGGAGUUGUCUGAGUUCAGAAAUGUAUGAAAAAUAGAGACAUAUGGAGACGGAAGAAGAGGUGACAAGUUUUGGGUAUGUGUGGAAAGCGUUUCUUGAAAUAGCAUGGUUUGACAUUAUUGCUCCACUUUCGCUUUUUCUUUUAAUAAUCAAAUUUCAGUUCAAAGGCUUUUACAUUUGGAGAAAAAAAUUUUUUUUUCAUUUCUGUAAAAUCGGGCCCAAAGCCUCGGAUUUGUAUUAACAUUAACAGCAGUAUAAAAACAAGACUGUCUCGCAAAAUGUAAAUUUCC